UACCACCUCAAGGGCUUGACAGAGGCCCAAGGGUUCGGGAGCUGUCAAGGUAUAAUACGUUAAGUAACGAGGACCGCCCCAACAUGUGGUCGGAGGCGGAAAAGUGAACUAUAAAGGGGGAGUUGACCAAAGAAGAAGAACCUCAGAGAUGAUAGGAGGAAACUCUCGCGGCGGCGGCGGAGGCCGGGGCCGCCGCCGCCGCCGCCCCUCUUCCCGCGGGGCACGGUCCUCACGCCCCUCGUCGGCACCUUCAUGGCCACGGGCCCGACGAGCGCGGAGUGGACGUCGGAGGGGACGCACGUCCGGGUGUUCGCGGCGUGGCGGACGAGGCCGUUCGCGGGGGCGUGGCAGGGGCAGGGCGAGCGGGUCAAGCUGCUGUCGGUCGAGGAGAGGCUAAUGUUGAACGACCUCCUCUGCCCGGACCAGUCCCUCAGCCGGGUGGCCGACGAGCCGCUGAAGCCCGCGUUGAUGCCGACGUCGAAGCUCCCUGCCGUGCCGCGGGUCGACGGCAGCACCGAGAGGAAGGAGGCGUUCCGGCGCCUCGCGGCCCCCCAGGCCGAGCGGAAGGAGGGGUCCCCGUACUGGUCCUCCCUCGCCUUGGCGAGGGCCGUGCUGUCCUCUUCACUGACGUAUAUGACCUGUCAGCUCACCUUCAAGUUAAGUUGUCUAUAACAGGAUUGACUGCUCGUCUGUCUGCUCUUACGUUCGAACGAGAGAAAUGACCUUUUCGUAGACUGAGGAAGGGGCACCUUCCUGGUCGAAUGCGGUAUAGCGUUAUGACUUGACGCACUAAACUUUGACAAGUAAGUCUUCAGACGGUUCUUAAGUUUCAGCGGUGUGGCAGUUGAGUUAUAUCUUCUCGGGAACGCGGGGGUCGACUCCCCGUGAGAAUAACAGCUCAUGGGUUGAUAGUUACAGAAGGAAGGUAGUCUAUCAAUGCUCAAAGUUCAGCUCUUCGGACGUUUGUUCUAAUCAUCUGUCCUCGUCGGGGGACCGUCGAGCUUGCUAUCAGGGGGAUAUCUUCCGUGAGUCAAAGUCCUCCUUCUUUAUCUCCUUCCGCUCAACAGAGGUCUCUGCGUCCAAUAACUAGAGUUCCUAACACCUGGCAGUGCAUGGCGUUUAGAAAGAGUUCACUUCCAAUGCUCACUUGGAUUCUACCUGUCGUACGGCAGCAUACAGGCGCCAGACCGUAAGCCACCAUUUGUCCCCCUUCACCUAGUUGUAUCGUUCUACCGUAGCUUGUACUGAGGACCCAGAGGGUUCCGAUUUAGGACGUACUUUCAGAUGGGCCACCUGAACCUGCUUCUUCAACUUCCGCCCUGGAAUCUCCCCGUCCAGUAUCUGGAGUUCUUAGAACAGUGAAGUCUAGGACCGUUAUAACCAGGUGGGUUUAUGUACUUAACGUUCUGCCUAAGAAGUCACGACAGAGGGUAGUCAUGAGAUCGUAGACUCCAGAGCUCAACAUGAGUCCUUCUUCUUGUGUUGGAUGUUUCGUGCGACGGUGGCUUGUGUUGAGGACUUCGAGACUUUUUCUCUAGAGAGUGCUUUCAGAUGGGCGACCUGUGCCUACUGCGGGUCCCCGACGACGAGAGCCUCGAAGGGUCGCACCUCAACCUCGUCCUCUACCCUCUGCGGAUGCUCCUAGACAAGCCCCUGAACUUGGGGCUGCUGAAGGAGUUGAAGCUGGAACUCUGUUACCUGCACCUGCCUAUGCCGCUUUACUCCAGGGGCAACUUCGAGACCCUGCUGGACCUGAACCUCCUUCCGCUCUAGGGGAGCGUCGAGACUUCUUCUCUGGACCCACGAGCCUUGAGCUGUGCUCUCGAACCUUAGGCAAACGGGCCUCACAACACCUUGUGAGGGUACAUCGUAACCGUAACCAUGGUGGAGUCAACGUCUCUAAAACUCCGACAUUGAGACGUCGACGUUCCGGACAGUUCGUUCGCCAUCAGCACUUGACUUCGACCACCAGCCAAAUAGCUAGUAUCAACACACAUUUUACGGCAACACGU
RNAcentral lists this ribosomal RNA (2012 nucleotides) under Triticum aestivum (bread wheat). RNAcentral's name for it is "partial small subunit ribosomal RNA". The record is from RNAcentral. Lineage: Eukaryota; Viridiplantae; Streptophyta; Magnoliopsida; Poales; Poaceae.